GGGGCUUUCCUUGACCACUGGCUCGAACAAUUCCUUCAGCUCCUACAUCUCUAGUCACCUUCACAGUAUCGGAUGACUCUGCAACUGCUCUUGGACCAUUCCUGGGAGUUUCUGCNCCUUUAUUUGAUACUUUGGACGCUCUCUUAUUCUUUCCAGAAGCCUUGGGCUCUUUCUAGCAUUUCUAAUAAAUCGAUGCUUCAAAAGCUC
RNAcentral lists this unclassified non-coding RNA (207 nucleotides) under Hevea brasiliensis (rubber tree). The record is from RNAcentral. Lineage: Eukaryota; Viridiplantae; Streptophyta; Magnoliopsida; Malpighiales; Euphorbiaceae.